GACGAACGCUGGCGGCGUGCCUAAUACAUGCAAGUCGAGCGGACUGAUUAAGAGCUUGCUCUUAUGACGUUAGCGGCGGACGGGUGAGUAACACGUGGGCAACCUGCCCUGUAGAUCGGGAUAACACCGAGAAAUCGGUGCUAAUACCGGGUAAUAUCUGAGAUCACAUGAUCUUAGGUUAAAAGAUGGCUCCGGCUAUCACUACAGGAUGGGCCCGCGGCGCAUUAGCUAGUUGGUAAGGUAAUGUCUUACCAAGGCGACGAUGCGUAGCCGACCUGAGAGGGUGAUCGGCCACACUGGGACUGAGACACGGCCCAGACUCCUACGGGAGGCAGCAGUAGGGAAUCUUCCGCAAUGGACGAAAGUCUGACGGAGCAACGCCGCGUGAGUGAUGAAGGGGUUCGGCUCGUAAAGCUCUGUUGUUAGGGAAGAAACAGUACCGAACGAACUAGGUCGGUACCUUGACGGUACCUAACCAGAAAGCCACGGCUAACUACGUG
RNAcentral lists this ribosomal RNA (500 nucleotides) under uncultured bacterium. RNAcentral describes it as "partial 16S ribosomal RNA". It matches the Rfam family "Bacterial small subunit ribosomal RNA", at positions 28 to 507 of the family's 1533-position model. The record is from RNAcentral.